This 634-nucleotide ribosomal RNA is filed under the name Aspergillus ficuum. Its description in RNAcentral is "partial 28S ribosomal RNA". It matches the Rfam family "Eukaryotic large subunit ribosomal RNA", at positions 1 to 649 of the family's 3401-position model. The record is from RNAcentral. Lineage: Eukaryota; Fungi; Ascomycota; Eurotiomycetes; Eurotiales; Aspergillaceae.
UUGACCUCGGAUCAGGUAGGGAUACCCGCUGAACUUAAGCAUAUCAAUAAGCGGAGGAAAAGAAACCAACCGGGAUUGCCUCAGUAACGGCGAGUGAAGCGGCAAGAGCUCAAAUUUGAAAGCUGGCUCCUUCGGAGUCCGCAUUGUAAUUUGCAGAGGAUGCUUUGGGUGCGGCCCCCGUCUAAGUGCCCUGGAACGGGCCGUCAGAGAGGGUGAGAAUCCCGUCUUGGGCGGGGUGUCCGUGCCCGUGUAAAGCUCCUUCGACGAGUCGAGUUGUUUGGGAAUGCAGCUCUAAAUGGGUGGUAAAUUUCAUCUAAAGCUAAAUACUGGCCGGAGACCGAUAGCGCACAAGUAGAGUGAUCGAAAGAUGAAAAGCACUUUGAAAAGAGAGUUAAACAGCACGUGAAAUUGUUGAAAGGGAAGCGCUUGCGACCAGACUCGCCCGCGGGGUUCAGCCGGCAUUCGUGCCGGUGUACUUCCCCGUGGGCGGGCCAGCGUCGGUUUGGGCGGCCGGUCAAAGGCCCCUGGAAUGUAGUGCCCUCCGGGGCACCUUAUAGCCAGGGGUGCAAUGCGGCCAGCCUGGACCGAGGAACGCGCUUCGGCACGGACGCUGGCAUAAUGGUCGUAAACGACC